Molecule: small RNA, 568 nt
Filed under: Pongo abelii (Sumatran orangutan)
Lineage: Eukaryota; Metazoa; Chordata; Mammalia; Primates; Hominidae
Description: processed transcript
Source: RNAcentral
UCAGUGCGCAUGUGCGGCCAUUCAGGGUCCGCAGCUCAUUCACUACGGGGCACUGGUGGGCUACUGCGCAGGAACAACCAAGCACGCAGAAUCGUUUAGAAAAAAAAAAAAAAACACACCCUCCCCUGGAGUGCGCAGGCCCAGCUGCACGCGGGCUGACAAACAUCGAGUCUAGAACUCUCCCACCCGGCCCCGGGCCCAGUGCGCAUGCGCAGCCGCGCGCCUUCGCCCGACCGUACCUCUUCUGCGCCUGCGCGACCGUGAUUCCCCGCUCGCCGCUCCCCACCCCCCAGGGCUCCCUAAAGAGGGCCACGAGCUGCGAAAGGGCGGGAAAGGCGGUUGGAGAAGGAGAGGUAAGCGGUUACUCACUCCAUGGCUGCAGCAAGGAGAGGCGGCGGCGGCCUCGGCUGAAGAAAGACGAAACCCACCUUGUCCCAUCCACAUCAGGACAUCCCAGCUGGAGUUCAACUUUCAUCCCUUCUGUGGCAGUUAGGAGACUGAAUCAAGGUCCAGAGAAGGUGGAGGGAUCCUGGUAUUGAGCGAAAUCUUCCCAAGGUUGCAGACGCCG